AGUGAACGCUGGCGGUAGGCCUAACACAUGCAAGUCGAACGGCAGCACAGUAAGAGCUUGCUCUUACGGGUGGCGAGUGGCGGACGGGUGAGGAAUACAUCGGAAUCUACUUUUUCGUGGGGGAUAACGUAGGGAAACUUACGCUAAUACCGCAUACGACCUACGGGUGAAAGCAGGGGAUCUUCGGACCUUGCGCGAUUGAAUGAGCCGAUGUCGGAUUAGCUAGUUGGCGGGGUAAAGGCCCACCAAGGCGACGAUCCGUAGCUGAUCUGAGAGGAUGAUCAGCCACACUGGAACUGAGACACGGUCCAGACUCCUACGGGAGGCAGCAGUGGGGAAUAUUGGACAGUGGGCGCAAGCCUGAUCCAGCCAUACCGCGUGGGUGAAGAAGGCCUUCGGGUUGUAAAGCCCUUUUGUUGGGAAAGAAAAGCAGCAGGUUAAUACCCCGCUGUUCUGACGGUACCCAAAGAAUAAGCACCGGCUAACUUCGUG
RNAcentral lists this ribosomal RNA (492 nucleotides) under uncultured bacterium. RNAcentral describes it as "partial 16S ribosomal RNA". It matches the Rfam family "Bacterial small subunit ribosomal RNA", at positions 29 to 507 of the family's 1533-position model. The record is from RNAcentral.